This 499-nucleotide ribosomal RNA is filed under the name uncultured bacterium. RNAcentral's name for it is "partial 16S ribosomal RNA". It matches the Rfam family "Bacterial small subunit ribosomal RNA", at positions 28 to 507 of the family's 1533-position model. The record is from RNAcentral.
GACGAACGCUGGCGGCGUGCUUAACACAUGCAAGUCGAACGGGCCUGUCUUCUUUUUGGGGGGUGGGUUGAGUGGCGAACGGGUGAGUAUCACGUGAGUAACCUGCCCUUCGGUCCUGGAUAACCGCUUGAAAGGGCGGCUAAUACGGGGUGGUCCGGUUGGUCCGCAUGGGCUGGUCGGGAUAGAUUCACUGUUUUUGGUGUUUCGGCGGGGGAUGGGCUCGCGGCCUAUCAGCUUGUUGGUGGGGUGAUGGCCUACCAAGGCGGUGACGGGUAGCCGGCCGGAGAGGGUGGGCGGCCACACUGGGACUGAGAUACGGCCCAGACUCCUGCGGGAGGCAGCAGUGGGGGGUAUUGCACAAUGGGCGGAAGCCUGAUGCAGCGACGUCGCGUGAGGGAUGGAGGCCUUCGGGUUGUGAACCUCUGUUUCCGGUGGUGAAGGCCCUGUCCGUGUGGUGGGGUUGACGGUAGCCGGGGAUGAAGCGCCGGCUAACUACGUG